GGAAGUGAUUCGUUAUGAGUUUAGAAAUUGAACGGAAAACCCGAGAAAUUAGAUGCAGAUAUGGACAAUGUGGAAGGCAGGCGUGUGCUGUAGAGAUAUUCAGCUUUCAAUUUAAAGGUAUAAUUUCUUCAUCUUCCUUUCUCAUUGCUGAUAUACCUUAACUUGUAAAAGUAUUAGGUGCUCCGAUUCCUUAGAUGGGCAUUUAGGGUUUACGCUUCUGCUUCCCGGGAUAACACUGAGAAUCAUGUACUCUUCGUCAAUGUUGAGUUGUUCGCCGUUCAUGUCAUUAUUAUUAUGAGUAGUUGUGGGGAGGACAAUGUGGUUGAUGAUCUAGAAAAGGCAACUAAGGAAACAAACAAAUGGUAGUUGGAAGCUAGAGGAAGCUCAAAAUAAAUGAAAGAAAGAAUACAUAAAGUUGACUCCUAAAAACUUGUCUCCACUGUGUCGGUUUAAUACUCUGAUGACAAAAUAAUCAUCUAGAAACCUUUAAAUCUGUGUGUCACAUCGUGUCGGGUGUCCACAAGACACAAUAGGGACGAGUUGGAGUGUUUAGUUGCAAUGGACACUAUGCACUCUCGAACUUGCCCGCAGAGGCCAAGUAUGAAUGUAUGUUUAUGUAGUGUGGUUCUUGAUCAAUAACUGGAAACAACCUCUUUAUUUUCUCAAGGUUAGGGUAAGGAUGCAUAUGCACCACACUCCUCCCUAGACCCACUUGUGGGAUUAUACUUAGAUUGUGGUUGUUGGUUCUUACUCAAUAGACUGCAAAUUUGUGUAAUGUGUUACCUUUAGGAUGCGUUUUGAUAUGGAGUUCUAUGUCAUGGAUGUUUUACCCUAAAAUAUAAUUUGUUUGAAUCAUUUUCUACUCUAUGAUUGAAUAUAGAGUUUGGUGAUAUAUGGUAAUUUUGCAAAGUGUAUAAGAUCCGACAUGGGAAUAGUGUUUCGACAUAAAUUUGAAUAUUGAAGGUUGAUAUAGAAAAAAAACCAUUCAUUGAAGUAAGAGACGUGGAGUAAGAUUUAGGAUAUUUGUAAAGGAAAAUUACUUCCACUAAUAAGUGACUGAAGUCAUUUCCAUUCUUCUGGUGAAAAAUCGUGUGCAGAGAAUAUUUUCAACACUUAAAGAUAUAUAAGUAAACAAAAAGGAAUUUCUGUUUGAAGGGAAGUGAUUUCAGCCAUUUUAAACACACUGCCUCUUAUAACCAGUUGGUAGAUUUAACAAGUGUGCAGUUGGAGAUUUUAUGUAUACAAAUCUUAACUUAUACGAAGACAACAGAACAAGCUUACAGUGAAAGGUACGUUCACAAAGAUAAUGUACAUAAAACUACAUCAAACAAUUUUAACCAAAUCAAUGCUUACUUUACAAGAAUAUACAAUCAACAUACCUUAUUUCACCUUUUCAAGAAUGGAAUGAUGACGUACAUAAAUCUCCAACUUAUGUUACGAGAAUAUGUGUACCAGGUAUCCUUUCACCUUUUCAGGAACUGAAUGAUGAUUGAUGAGCAGAAUUAAUAGCUAUCCG
RNAcentral lists this long non-coding RNA (1516 nucleotides) under Solanum lycopersicum (tomato). RNAcentral describes it as "partial TCONS_00038129". Lineage: Eukaryota; Viridiplantae; Streptophyta; Magnoliopsida; Solanales; Solanaceae. The record is from RNAcentral.